Molecule: ribosomal RNA, 329 nt
Filed under: uncultured eukaryote
Lineage: Eukaryota
Description: partial 18S ribosomal RNA
Rfam family: Eukaryotic small subunit ribosomal RNA
Source: RNAcentral
CCCUUAGAUGUUCUGGGCCGCACGCGCGCUACACUGACGGAGGCAGCGAGCGUGUCCUUCGCCGGCAGGUGCGGGCAAUCUUGCGAGUCUCCGUCGUGCUGGGGAUAGAUGGUUGCAAUUGUCGAUCUUGAACGAGGAAUUCCUAGUAAGCGCGAGUCAUCAGCUCGCGCUGAUUACGUCCCUGCCCUUUGUACACACCGCCCGUCGCUACUACAGGGUGCCCGUGUCCAAGAAACGGUCGGACCUGUGCGGCCUCUCCGGGCGACCGGAGGGCCGUUACGGGGAAGACCCUUUAUUUGACGCGGGUCGAUGAAGUAAAAGUCGUAACA